This 81-nucleotide transfer RNA is filed under the name Monosporozyma servazzii. RNAcentral's name for it is "Kazachstania servazzii partial transfer RNA". The record is from RNAcentral. Lineage: Eukaryota; Fungi; Ascomycota; Saccharomycetes; Saccharomycetales; Saccharomycetaceae.
CGACACCUGCAGGAUUUGAACCAGCGCGGGCAGAGCCAACAGAUUUCAAGUCUGUCGCCUUAACCACUCGGCCAAAGUGCC